This 1357-nucleotide ribosomal RNA is filed under the name Pediococcus pentosaceus. Its description in RNAcentral is "bacterial SSU rRNA". It matches the Rfam family "Bacterial small subunit ribosomal RNA", at positions 41 to 1354 of the family's 1533-position model. Lineage: Bacteria; Bacillati; Bacillota; Bacilli; Lactobacillales; Lactobacillaceae. The record is from RNAcentral.
GGGGUGCUAUACAUGCAAGUCGAACGAACUUCCGUUAAUUGAUUAUGACGUACUUGUACUGAUUGAGAUUUUAACACGAAGUGAGUGGCGAACGGGUGAGUAACACGUGGGUAACCUGCCCAGAAGUAGGGGAUAACACCUGGAAACAGAUGCUAAUACCGUAUAACAGAGAAAACCGCAUGGUUUUCUUUUAAAAGAUGGCUCUGCUAUCACUUCUGGAUGGACCCGCGGCGUAUUAGCUAGUUGGUGAGGUAAAGGCUCACCAAGGCAGUGAUACGUAGCCGACCUGAGAGGGUAAUCGGCCACAUUGGGACUGAGACACGGCCCAGACUCCUACGGGAGGCAGCAGUAGGGAAUCUUCCACAAUGGACGCAAGUCUGAUGGAGCAACGCCGCGUGAGUGAAGAAGGGUUUCGGCUCGUAAAGCUCUGUUGUUAAAGAAGAACGUGGGUAAGAGUAACUGUUUACCCAGUGACGGUAUUUAACCAGAAAGCCACGGCUAACUACGUGCCAGCAGCCGCGGUAAUACGUAGGUGGCAAGCGUUAUCCGGAUUUAUUGGGCGUAAAGCGAGCGCAGGCGGUCUUUUAAGUCUAAUGUGAAAGCCUUCGGCUCAACCGAAGAAGUGCAUUGGAAACUGGGAGACUUGAGUGCAGAAGAGGACAGUGGAACUCCAUGUGUAGCGGUGAAAUGCGUAGAUAUAUGGAAGAACACCAGUGGCGAAGGCGGCUGUCUGGUCUGCAACUGACGCUGAGGCUCGAAAGCAUGGGUAGCGAACAGGAUUAGAUACCCUGGUAGUCCAUGCCGUAAACGAUGAUUACUAAGUGUUGGAGGGUUUCCGCCCUUCAGUGCUGCAGCUAACGCAUUAAGUAAUCCGCCUGGGGAGUACGACCGCAAGGUUGAAACUCAAAAGAAUUGACGGGGGCCCGCACAAGCGGUGGAGCAUGUGGUUUAAUUCGAAGCUACGCGAAGAACCUUACCAGGUCUUGACAUCUUCUGACAGUCUAAGAGAUUAGAGGUUCCCUUCGGGGACAGAAUGACAGGUGGUGCAUGGUUGUCGUCAGCUCGUGUCGUGAGAUGUUGGGUUAAGUCCCGCAACGAGCGCAACCCUUAUUACUAGUUGCCAGCAUUAAGUUGGGCACUCUAGUGAGACUGCCGGUGACAAACCGGAGGAAGGUGGGGACGACGUCAAAUCAUCAUGCCCCUUAUGACCUGGGCUACACACGUGCUACAAUGGAUGGUACAACGAGUCGCGAGACCGCGAGGUUAAGCUAAUCUCUUAAAACCAUUCUCAGUUCGGACUGUAGGCUGCAACUCGCCUACACGAAGUCGGAAUCGCUAGUAAUCGCUGGAUUCAGCA